This 407-nucleotide ribosomal RNA is filed under the name uncultured bacterium. Its description in RNAcentral is "partial 16S ribosomal RNA". It matches the Rfam family "Bacterial small subunit ribosomal RNA", at positions 30 to 526 of the family's 1533-position model. The record is from RNAcentral.
AUUGAACGCUGGCGGCAGGCCUAACACAUGCAAGUCGAGCGGAGCGGCGGACGGGUGAGUAAUGCCUAGGAAUCUGCCUGGUAGUGGGGGAUAACGUCCGGAAACGGGCGCUAAUACCGCAUACUAUCAGAUGAGCCUAGGUCGGAUUAGCUAGUUGGUGGGGUAAAGGCCUACCAAGGCGACGAUCCGUAACUGGUCUGUGAGGAUGAUCAGUCACACUAGAACUGAGACACGGGCCAGAUCUGUCAGGGAGGCAGCAGUGGUGAAUAUUGGACAAUGGGCGAAAGCCUGAUCCAGCCGUGCCGCGUGUGUGAGGAAGGUCUUCGGAGUUUAAAGCACUUUAAGUUGAGAGGCGUUACCAACAGAAUAAGCACCGGCUAGCAUCGUGCCAGCAGCCGCGGUAAUAC